AGAGUUUGAUCCUGGCUCAGGAUGAACGCUGGCGGCGUGCCUAAUACAUGCAAGUUGUGCGGUAACAGAGAGAGCUUGCUCUCUGCUGAUGAGCGGCGGACGGCAGAGUAACGCGUAGGAACAUACCCCAAACUGAGGGAUAACUGCUCGAAAGAGUAGCUAAUACCGCAUGUGGUCUUCGGAUUAAAGCUUCGGCGGUUUGGGAGUGGCCUGCGUCCGAUUAGCUAGUUGGUGAGGUAAAUUGCUCACCAAGGCGACGAUCGGUAGCUGGUCUGAGAGGAUGAUCAGCCUGACUGGAACUGAGAACGGUCCAGACUCCUACGGGAGGCAGCAGUAGGGAAUUUUCCACAAUGGGCGAAAGCCUGAUGGAGCAACGCCGCGUGCAGGAUGAAUGCCUUCGGGUUGUAAACUGCUUUUCUGUGUGAAGAAUAUGACGGUAACACAGGAAUAAGGGUCGGCUAACUACGUG
This 469-nucleotide ribosomal RNA is filed under the name uncultured bacterium. RNAcentral's name for it is "bacterial SSU rRNA". It matches the Rfam family "Bacterial small subunit ribosomal RNA", at positions 8 to 507 of the family's 1533-position model. The record is from RNAcentral.